Long non-coding RNA from Mirounga angustirostris (Northern elephant seal), 508 nucleotides. RefSeq lists it as uncharacterized. Lineage: Eukaryota; Metazoa; Chordata; Mammalia; Carnivora; Phocidae. The record is from RefSeq and is a predicted model, not a curated record. The transcript is spliced from 3 exons.
AGGUCUUCUGUGAGGAUAUUUUGAAAUAUUUUCAGACGAACAAUUUAGGACUUCAAAUAAUUUCAGAUUUUCUUCAGAUUUCUAGUAUAAUAUUCAGAAAAAACACACUGGAUGGAUAUUGGAUGCCUUGCAGCAAAACUCUCAUUAAACCCAGGAUCCCGUGAUAUGCACUACAAUGGCUGAAUUAUUGCUUCGAAGAGAAUAUUAUACUAAAACUUCACUGCAUCACGAUCCUCAGGGACUUUGCUAUAGAAUUACUUGUAAAUGGAACCAUUUUAUAAAAACAUCCUUCCGAAGCUUCAGGAUUUCACAGAAUUGGGCGGUGGCUGAGUAAUGCGUUGCCCUGAAACUGAUAAGCCGGAAGACCGAAGAAGUUUCAAGGAAGUCAGUCAGAAGUCUUGCAAAGAAGGCAGCCAUCAGGGUACGGUACUGGAGCUUUUCAUGAGCAAUUUUUAUUUCUGGGAGCUGGCGAGACUUCACCCCCUCUCCUAUCUCUUUCUGCUGAGAA